UACGUAGGGUGCAAGCGUUAAUCGGAAUUACUGGGCGUAAAGCGUGCGCAGGCGGCUUUGCAAGACAGAUGUGAAAUCUCCGGGCUUAACCUGGGAACUGCAUUUGUGACUGCAUGGCUGGAGUGCGGCAGAGGGGGAUGGAAUUCCGCGUGUAGCAGUGAAAUGCGUAGAUAUGCGGAGGAACACCGAUGGCGAAGGCAAUCCCCUGGGCCUGCACUGACGCUCAUGCACGAAAGCGUGGGGAGCAAACAGG
This 253-nucleotide ribosomal RNA is filed under the name uncultured bacterium. RNAcentral describes it as "partial 16S ribosomal RNA". It matches the Rfam family "Bacterial small subunit ribosomal RNA", at positions 524 to 776 of the family's 1533-position model. The record is from RNAcentral.